Long non-coding RNA from Herpailurus yagouaroundi (jaguarundi), 2060 nucleotides. RefSeq lists it as uncharacterized. The transcript has 4 exons. NCBI's taxonomy places the organism in Eukaryota, Metazoa, Chordata, Mammalia, Carnivora, Felidae. The record is from RefSeq and is a predicted model, not a curated record.
AAUUGGACCAGCAAACAGCUGAAGUACAAUUGAAAUUACAUCGGUUCCCCCUCAAACAGUGAAGCCCUUUAUAGUCCAUAAACUAAGCAUGCAGAGACUUCCUGAAGAUCGAGAUGCUCAUUGGGUUGACUUGGCAUGACUCUGGUGGGAUGUAAAUGAAGUCUUCAUUCAGAAGGUUAAAAUAGUGUCUUGGAUGGGAAGUUUGAAUUAUGUAACAAACAAUGUCAGGUUUUCAGAAUCUUCUGCAAAAACCUGCUGCUGGGACCCUAAGAAGAAAGGGACACUCAAACACAGAGAAGAAUCAGCUCCUGUUGAAUUUCCAGAAAGUCAGUCACUGUCCUCCAUCACAAAGACUGAAGGAGGUGCUCCUUUCAUUUUGUAAUUCUCCUUUGCCUCAGGGUAAUAUUUGGCAUAUGCUUGACCGAUUGAUUCUUCUGCUUCACAUGGACUGAAAUGAGCUCAGUUUAUGGUGUUCAGCUGGCAAUUUGACUGGUCUGCAGGAUCCUAGAUAGCUUCACUCACAUGACUGAAACAUUGGUAAGGCUGGAUUUGGCUAACCCCAUCUCACAUAGAAGCUGGGCUCAGUCAGGCCCUUCUCUCUGCACGUAGUCUCAAAGCCCGUCCACGAGGUCUCUCCGGAAGGUUGCCAAACAUCUUACCUAUCAUCCAAUGGCUUCAAAAGGCAAUGUUCCAAGGGAUAGGAAAUGAAUGCUUCCAUUUUUUAAGCCCAAGUCUUGGAAAUUGGCAGUGUCAUUGUUGCCAUAUUUUAUUAGUUAAAGCACUAACAGAGUCUCUACUCAGAUUUCGGUGGAAAGAACAUAGACACCAUUUCUUAACAAGGAAAGUAUCAAAGUAUUUGUGGCCCUAUUUAAUCUGCCACAUAAAGAAAGUUAACAGUGAAGCCAAGAGUUGAACCCAUAUCUCCUGCAUCAGAUGCAUGCAUGUGUCAUUAUAGCAUUCAUUCAUUCAUUCAUGAUUCAACAAACAUUUCUGGACUACCCCGUUCCACUAGGCAUCCUAUUAGAUGCUAGGACUAUAUAUAAACAUUAAAAAUAUAUAAACACUAUUCUGAGUUAGCCCACAGUUUAACAAAGUCAGCAGAUAUGUUUACAGAUCAUGCUAUAUGCUAAUAGAGAAGUGUGCCAAAUGCUGGGGGAACACAGAAGAGGGAGGAAAUAUCUGCAGUGGGGAAGAGAGUGUAUCAGGAGGGCUUCCCAGUGAAAUGAUCUUAGAGUGAGUUUUAAAAGCUGAAGAGAAUUUGUUGAGGAAACAAUGAAAGACUUUCUAUGCAUAGGCCAAGGGGAGGCAGGGUGAAAGAGCGCGGUAUGUUUGAAUUCAUUGAAUUCACAUGGUUGCUACAGAGGAUGUGAGAAACACAAACCACUAAGAAACUAUUAAAUGUUUUUUCCUAAGGCAAUUAGAGAGAUAUAAGGAGAAAGUUAUUGGAGACUUCAACUCAAUAUAUUUCUACUUGAUGAAUCCAAGAGUUGGGACUCCAAAGCUUUUCUUUCUGUGUUCCCAUAUGCAACCCUCCCACCCCCAUUUCUUCAUUAAAUCAUGGCAGGAGGAUUAGAAGAAAAUAGGUCAUUUAGUGUUCUAUAUUUACAUCCAGCAUAUAAACUUGUCUUUCAGCAAGUAUACAAGUCUGGUACGACUAUAUGUGAGAAAUAUUAAUCAUGUCUUUUCACAUGGUUAUUUGAAAACUACACAUUGAGCCUGGCCCCAGUACUUGCUGGAGUAGAGAUUGAUGUGGUACAACUAAGACGUUAUUUUACUUGGCAUCAGACUCCAGCACACUAAGUCAGUGGUCCAUUCCACUAACUAUCCUCUAUGAUGCCUUUGUGAAAAUUAGAAAAAGCUACCCUUUCUGGGCAGAUAUAGCCCUACAUCAGGUUUCAGUGACUCAGGAAGUAGAGUAAGGUCUGAAUUUUAGUUGCCACUUGUUUCCUGGCUUGAGCACCUUUGUGACAUAUACAAGAUGUGAAAUUCUAUGUUCUGGCCUUGCCUGAUUAUUGGUAUUCCAUUGUUAAAUUCAGAAUAAAGCCUGUGGACACAGACCA